Molecule: ribosomal RNA, 384 nt
Filed under: uncultured Methanosaeta sp.
Lineage: Archaea; Methanobacteriati; Methanobacteriota; Methanomicrobia; Methanotrichales; Methanotrichaceae
Description: bacterial SSU rRNA
Rfam family: Archaeal small subunit ribosomal RNA
Source: RNAcentral
CAGGCUGAAGACUUACCCCGAUUAGCUGAGAGGUGGUGCAUGGCCGUCGUCAGUUCGUACUGUGAAGCAUCCUGUUAAGUCAGGCAACGAGCGAGACCCACGUCCACAGUUGCCAGCAUACCCUCCGGGGUGAUGGGUACACUGUGGAGACCGCCGCUGCUAAAGCGGAGGAAGGAGUGGGCAACGGUAGGUCAGUAUGCCCCGAAUCUCCCGGGCUACACGCGGGCUACAAUGGUUGGUACAAUGGGCAUCUACCCCGAAAGGGGAAGGAAAUCUCUUAAAGCCAAUCGUAGUUCGGAUUGAGGGCUGCAACUCGCCCUCAUGAAGCUGGAAUCCGUAGUAAUCGCGUUUCAACAGAACGCGGUGAAUACGUCCCUGCUCCUU